GCUGGGACGCCCAUCCGGACUCCAGGGACAACAGGGAGAUGGUGCCGAAGCUUGGGUGCACUUCCACCACGUAUUUCACAGCCAGGGAGGCGAAGCUGCACCCCCCAGCGCUGGCCCUGCUCAGAAGAAAUGUGCAGUCAUAUUGGAACAAAUAAAGUGUCUUUUAAGAACUUGAGAAUUCCUGAUGUAUAUCAACCUGGAAGGUCAGAGACUGCUUUCAGCAGACAGAGGAAACAGCAGCAGAAGCAGCGUAGGGAUGAGCCCAUGCCACUCAAUCCCAGCGUGAUCUCCAGGUACCACCAGCAGAGGGGACAGAAGACGACAGCCCAGUGCUUUGUCCAGAGGGUACAGCAGGGCUGGGAGUCAUAGAAUCAUUAAGGCUGGAAAAGAUCUCUAAGAUCAUCUUGUCCAACCACAAUCAGCCAGCUGGUAGCACUGAGCCGACACCUCGCUGCCUUCCAAGCAGGAGUCCAACUGCAGCAGCUCAGAAGUAAGAACAACAAGUCCUAAAGCCCAUCCCCUGCGUCCUCUAGCAUGGGCACCAGGUCUGUCCCAGGGCAAGCUGAGCUGGGGUCUGAAUGCAACAGCUGCAUGAUCAGGAGCUGCAAGCUUUGCAGAGGGCAAGGCUAGAAUUCAGGUCAAACUUAAUGAGUAAGAGUAAUCUGACCAAAAGACAACCACUUUAAUAAGGCCUCCCCAAACUGCUCUUUAACAAAAACAGCCAACUGCACGUUUGCUGGGAGAACAAGACUUGACUCUGUGACAAGUCCUCAGAAAAGCAUCUGUGACUGCAGUGAAUCAUCAGUGCUAUGUUGCUAUGAAAGGACAAAUAUUCCCUGGGAUAUGUACAUACAAGUGCGGGCUGUGCUGCGGGGCUGCUGCUCUGCUCAGCUCUGGAGCAGCAUGUGGAAGGAUGGCUGCCUUCAUGGACAGACAGAAGACAGCCCGAGAGCACUGAGAAUCACUCAGCUACGACGAAAGCCAAACAGCAGGCCAGCUUAAAGCCCAAGGAGCAGACAGAGGGCUAUGAGGGCACAAGGAUUGCCCCGGAGAAGCUUUCCCCUUCAUUUAUUCUGUGAUGGCACGAGGCUCCGGUUUUCCAUCAGCCACGCUGGGAGCACACUUCCCCAUGUCACCUGUGGCACAGCCAUGGUAAAAAAAAAAAAAAGUAUUUUUGAGUCCAGCCCCUUUUGUUUCAAAUGGAAGAUGUGGAAUAGUAACAACUGUAGAAGCAGAGAGGCAUGGCAAUAGGAAGGGAUUGUUCUGAGGGAACAAAUUAAUCAUCAUUUCCUGCUGUUACGCAGCAUUCUGCUCAUACUGCUGGUUCCAGUGUGCGAGGAUGGGCCUGCCCUCCUAGCCACAUGUCUACAGCACACAACUACCCUCAAUUUUAUCACCUGUAGUGAUAACAAGCAAUGAAGGCAAUCAUCACUUCAGCUUAAGAUGAAAUAGAAAAGAAUACACUGAGGGUAUGGACCUUAUGUCUAGAGCAGGCUGAUGGAGGGUUCUGCAUGGAAAUCCAACAUUAAAUGGAGGAGAAUGGGACACGAUCUUCCACUGGAUGUGUCAAACUCAGCUUUGGAGAAGAUUACACUGAGGCAACCACCAGAAGAGCACUGGAGAAAGCACUGGGAGAAGCAAGACAGCUGCCGGUCCCCCUCCCCCACCCAGCUCCCAUCCACACAAGGCCUGGGGAGCUCCUCAGGGAAGCCUGGCCAAGAGCCGCUGCUGCCCGUACCUGAUAACCACGCUCACAUCUCCAUACCAGGUGGGCGACUCUUGGGUCUCCUGCAAGGGUUUGAGUUUGAUGAAUUGGCUCAGCUCAGAAGUGUGAUGUUCUAACAGUAGCUAUGGGGUUACAAAGCCAAGAUACAGACGCACAGGUUGUUCCAAGAGUAAUUUGUAUGGUGUGCGCUAUCGGGUACUUGCGCUCGGAAUUUUGACAGCCUACAAUAACUGCUUCCCUGACAAUGUUCCCUUCAUUUGUAGGUGUCACACUUAAGAAGAGUAAAAGCAUUUUAAUGCGACAGAAAAAUUUGGCAUGGGAGCUAAUUACUUUAAUUUGAUAGAUUUUUUUUGGCUCAUCUGCAUACUUGACAAUAAUUUAUGACUUACAUUGGUAAUUAGAGGCUGAGUCUCACGCUGAAAUAUUGUAAAUAGCUUUGAAGACUUUCGCUGAUCCUUCUAACUUUCUUUUAGAGACGAUGAAUUUAUUAGUAGAUAAUAUGUAAAAUAUUUGUACUUCUGACCUUUUGUAAAACAUUCCUUCUGCAUUUUAAAUGAUUGGUUGUCAGCAUCACUUUCCUCAGAACGAAGCGAGAUGUUGUAAAUAAGAUCUUGAAUUAAGCAGCAUAUUAAAUCUACGUAUUCAGUGGCAACCUUUGAUAGCCCUCAUAUAUCAUGCGGAUUCUGUUGGUUCUGCUACAUUCAGCUAUGUCAUAUAACAUUGUGAAUUAUAAUUUUUUUACACUGAACUUUAAGGUUUCUGGACAAUUUGAACAUCAUUCUUCUGCUACUGACAAAGGAUAUGAAGUUAACAGGUUAGUACAUGAUUUCUUGCCUUUUUGGUGUAUGAGAAAGGAAGUUUUUUUGCUGGAGGAGCUGACGAGCUUUAAACAAAUCCUCCAGUGGGGAAGUUGCCAGACGAUUUCCAAAUGUUUAUUUUUUAUUCAGCUAUUCUGCUGAAUUUCUCAAGAACGUCCUUGGGAUUUCUCCUGGCCAUCUUCCUGCAUGGUCUAUAUAUUGCCCUGGUUUUACAGGUAUCUUAAAAAUCUGUUGAAUUCACGGAAGUCUGCUGAACCAUUCUGAGAGCCAGUCAAUCACCAGUAGCACUCUCACAGAAUCAUAGAAUCAACCUCAAAUAAUGUGAUAGAUGAAAGAAUUUGUAAAGUCAAAGUGUUUAAACUCUAAUUCCUUAGGAGUUCAAAUACAGCGCUACCCUCAACUAUAACUGACCACAUCAGUAUUAUCUCCUGAGCGUGUCUUGUCUGUCAAUACUGCUUAAUCGUCUUCUUUGUAAUGGGGUAUGUCUUAAGAAGAAGGACACUGGAUAAGUCAUAUACAUAAAAGAGAUCUACAGCUUGCUGGCAUAUGAAAUUCCUCUAAUACAUAUUUUUAUGGAACUACCAGCACAUUAUGUGCUUGGCAGCAUAAAUAAAAAAGCGUGUUACCCUGGCAAUUUCACAUUUACUACAUUAGUUAGUAAAUGCAACGGCCACCCUUACUUUCCUACAAUAAAAACUGCUGAGCCUUUUCAUGAAAGAUGAUUGCAAUUUCCACUGGUCUGUAUAUUCAAUAAAGAACCAUAACUCAUCAAAAGUUGAGCUAUUUGCUCUUAAGAUAGAAGACCAUUUUUCUCAAACACUUGACAUGACAUUAACUAUUCAUGAAAGUUGAGUGU
Molecule: long non-coding RNA, 3400 nt
Organism: Numida meleagris (helmeted guineafowl)
Lineage: Eukaryota; Metazoa; Chordata; Aves; Galliformes; Numididae
Exons: 3
Source: RefSeq, a predicted model, not a curated record